This 494-nucleotide ribosomal RNA is filed under the name uncultured bacterium. Its description in RNAcentral is "partial 16S ribosomal RNA". It matches the Rfam family "Bacterial small subunit ribosomal RNA", at positions 28 to 507 of the family's 1533-position model. The record is from RNAcentral.
GACGAACGCUGGCGGCGCGCUUAACACAUGCAGGUCGAACGGAAAGGCCUGCUUUCCCUUGUGGAUUGCGGGUACUCGAGUGGCGAACGGGUGAGUAACACGUGAGUGAUCUGCCCCCAACUUGGGUAUAAGCCUGGGAAACUGGGUCUAAUUCCCGAUAGGACUGCAGGGUGGUGCCUGUGGUGGAAAACGAUUUUCUAGUGGUUGGGGAUGAGCUCGCGGCCUAUCAGCUUGUUGGUGGGGUAAUGGCCGACCAAGGCGGCGACGGGUAGCCGGCCUGAGAGGAGGGACGGCCACAUUGGGACUGGGAUACGGCCCAGACGCCUACGGGAGGCAGCAGUGAGGAAUAUUGCGCAAUGGGCGGAAGCCUGAUGCAGCGACGCCGCGUAGGGGAUGACGGCCUUCGGGUUGUAAACUCCUUUCGACCGCGAGGAAGCCACCUGGUUGGAAGGGUGGUGACGGUAGUGGUAGAAGAAGCACCGGCUAACUACGUG